UGGGGAAUAUUGCACAAUGGGCGAAAGCCUGAUGCAGCGACGCCGCGUGGGGGAUGACGGCCUUCGGGUUGUAAACCUCUUUCAGCAAGGAAGAAGCGAAAGUGACGGUACUUGCAGAAGAAGCGCCGGCUAACUACGUGCCAGCAGCCGCGGUAAUACGUAGGGCGCAAGCGUUGUCCGGAAUUAUUGGGCGUAAAGGGCUUGUAGGUGGCUUGUCGCGUCUGCCGUGAAAACCCAGGGCUUAACUCUGGGCGUGCGGUGGGUACGGGCAGGCUAGAGUGCGGUAGGGGAGACUGGAAUUCCUGGUGUAGCGGUGAAAUGCGCAGAUAUCAGGAGGAACACCGAUGGCGAAGGCAGGUCUCUGGGCCGUUACUGACACUGAGAAGCGAAAGCAUGGGGAGCGAACAGG
This 409-nucleotide ribosomal RNA is filed under the name uncultured Dermabacter sp. RNAcentral describes it as "bacterial SSU rRNA". It matches the Rfam family "Bacterial small subunit ribosomal RNA", at positions 355 to 776 of the family's 1533-position model. Lineage: Bacteria; Bacillati; Actinomycetota; Actinomycetes; Micrococcales; Dermabacteraceae. The record is from RNAcentral.